Molecule: long non-coding RNA, 1464 nt
Organism: Engraulis encrasicolus (European anchovy)
Lineage: Eukaryota; Metazoa; Chordata; Actinopteri; Clupeiformes; Engraulidae
Exons: 3
Source: RefSeq, a predicted model, not a curated record
GUGUUGUCUUCCAAGACAAGGUCCUCGGAGUGGACGAGGUUCACCUCAUAUAAUGGUAAGUGGCAUGCUCUUAACAACGUCAGGGUGUGUGUAAAGUAUAUUCCUAAAAGAUGACGGUAAUGAUUUGGUAAACGCUUCACCCUGUUGCCAUUGUAACAGAUGGACUGUCGCCCCGGACGUCUCCCUUUUUAAUCUCAGUUUACAGUCUUUAAUGUUGACUAUCUAAACAAAGUCUGUGGUCGUAAGAUUGAAGUUUACAUGGACGUUGUGCGAGAUGAACGUGGGGCUGAUUGACUGGGGAUGACAGAUAAACGGCUGUGUACGGCGGCUAGAGGAGACACAUGCUGCGUCUUAAGUUAAAUUUUACACUUUGGAAAUUAGUACACUGCACUUCGACGAGACCAGCAUCGCGUCGCACUAAAAUAACAUCGAUGUUAUGGAGCUAAUAGUGCCAUACCGGUGGAGUGAUCUACACUAGAAUCACACUGAUACCGUGUAUUCAGACAGUUAAUACACCGAGUAAACCAACGAAAACACUUCUGAGACUCAUUCUUGUGCGUGAUUGUAUUCUCAAACACUUCAGUGCGGUGAGCAUUCCGAGAAACCAUCCCCAGUCAAUCGAGCCCCACGAUGAUCUCUCACAACGCACUUGCUCAAUUAUGUUGAAUUAAUUGUUCCGUUGAUGUGGAAAUAACACUAAGAAGCUAGUUUAUAUGGACUUAAUUGCUUUGUGAUUGAAGAAUAACGUACUGAUUUUCCACAGGGGGAAACGUGACAAAGGGAAGGCCUUCAGGUAUUGUUUUGGCAAGCUAGGAGAACACAUCUGACAGACAAAAAGGUUUCAUCAAAGACACACAGACAGCUCCUGAAGUAAAGGACCUACACAGGACCUUCAUAUCAAGGACAUUGACUGUGUGGAUCUCGAGGUGCAGUUACCCAAAAGUUGCUACCCACGGAAUACCAGGUUUUGAGGGAUCCUGCCAGAGCAGAGAAUCAACAGAUACAUUGAAGAGGAGACUCCGACAUGACCGCCGGCAUCUUGUGUUAUUCACCCCCACCACUUGUAAUACUGAAUGCCUGAAUUGUUGUUUGCUGCUCAGACUUUGUCAACAGAUAUGGUCUUCGACAUGUUACCCUUAGGUGUGGAAACAGAUUGUGACAGUCCAGCAAAAUGAGCCAGAUAGAUAGUAACACUGAAAAAGGACAACGUUGUUCCCAUGGCCUCCCACUGCAGAAGACUACAGACGUUCAGUGAAGCACAAACAGCUGUUCCUCUUGUACUUAAUAAUUUAGUCAGCUGGAUUCUAGGUGCCACUAAGGAGCCAACAGUGGAUAAUUUUGUCAACAUUUCAAUGGCAUACAUUAAAAGGGCAGCCUGUAAUUGUUUGCCUUGCCUCCAUCUUCCUUGCCACCAAGGGGUUGUAGACCGAUGCCCUAGUCCUCCUGUUUAGGUACAACCAUGCA